AGCAGCUACCAAGGAUACAUUGUCCUCUCAAAAUGAGUCACAGACUGUAGCUCAGGUGCUCCCCUGCAAAAUUGCCCUCUUCUUUGCCCUGAUCUCUGUUGCAGAUCCUGUCCAAUCCUGCUCUUUGAAGACACUACAUUUUCAUCCUCAACACCAAGAAGAACUGGGUUGGACUAGCACUUGGGUGGGAGACUUCUACUGCAUUCUAGAGUGUAGCAUUGCAUAUAGUGUAAAAAACCCCAGCAACCCAGAAGACAAUAUCUUGGAAAUUCCUGCUUGACAAUAUCCCAGAAAUUCCAAUAAAUAUUAAAUCUUGCCAUGUUUUUUGAUGGUU
Molecule: long non-coding RNA, 334 nt
Filed under: Calidris pugnax (ruff)
Lineage: Eukaryota; Metazoa; Chordata; Aves; Charadriiformes; Scolopacidae
Description: lncRNA (ENSCPUG00000008489.1)
Source: RNAcentral